This 484-nucleotide ribosomal RNA is filed under the name uncultured bacterium. RNAcentral's name for it is "partial 16S ribosomal RNA". It matches the Rfam family "Bacterial small subunit ribosomal RNA", at positions 30 to 507 of the family's 1533-position model. The record is from RNAcentral.
AUUGAACGCUGGCGGCAGGCCUAACACAUGCAAGUCGAGCGGAUGAAGGGAGCUUGCUCCUGGAUUCAGCGGCGGACGGGUGAGUAAUGCCUAGGAAUCUGCCUGGUAGUGGGGGAUAACGUCCGGAAACGGGCGCUAAUACCGCAUACGUCCUGAUGGAGAAAGUGGGGGAUCUUCGGACCUCACGCUAUCAGAUGAGCCUAGGUCGGAUUAGCUAGUUGGUGGGGUAAAGGCCUACCAAGGCGACGAUCCGUAACUGGUCUGAGAGGAUGAUCAGUCACACUGGAACUGAGACACGGUCCAGACUCCUACGGGAGGCAGCAGUGGGGAAUAUUGGGCAAUGGGCGAAAGCCUGAUCGAGCCAUGCCGCGUGUGUGAAGAAGGUCUUCGGAUUGUAAAGCACUUUAAGUUGGGAGGAAGGGCAGUAAGUUAAUACCUUGCUGUUUUGACGUUACCAACAGAAUAAGCACCGGCUAACUUCGUG